Molecule: ribosomal RNA, 1370 nt
Filed under: uncultured bacterium
Lineage: Bacteria
Description: bacterial SSU rRNA
Rfam family: Bacterial small subunit ribosomal RNA
Source: RNAcentral
AGAGUUUGAUCCUGGCUCAGAACGAACGCUGGCGGCGUGGAUAAGACAUGCAAGUCGAACGAGAGAAUUGCUAGCUUGCUAAUAAUUCUCUAGUGGCGCACGGGUGAGUAACACGUGAGUAACCUGCCCCCGAGAGCGGGAUAGCCCUGGGAAACUGGGAUUAAUACCGCAUAGUAUCGAAAGAUUAAAGCAGCAAUGCGCUUGGGGAUGGGCUCGCGGCCUAUUAGUUAGUUGGUGAGGUAACGGCUCACCAAGGCGAUGACGGGUAGCCGGUCUGAGAGGAUGUCCGGCCACACUGGAACUGAGACACGGUCCAGACACCUACGGGUGGCAGCAGUCGAGAAUCAUUCACAAUGGGGGAAACCCUGAUGGUGCGACGCCGCGUGGGGGAAUGAAGGUCUUCGGAUUGUAAACCCCUGUCAUGUGGGAGCAAAUUAAAAAGAUAGUACCACAAGAGGAAGAGACGGCUAACUCUGUGCCAGCAGCCGCGGUAAUACAGAGGUCUCAAGCGUUGUUCGGAAUCACUGGGCGUAAAGCGUGCGUAGGCUGUUUCGUAAGUCGUGUGUGAAAGGCGCGGGCUCAACCCGCGGACGGCACAUGAUACUGCGAGACUAGAGUAAUGGAGGGGGAACCGGAAUUCUCGGUGUAGCAGUGAAAUGCGUAGAUAUCGAGAGGAACACUCGUGGCGAAGGCGGGUUCCUGGACAUUAACUGACGCUGAGGCACGAAGGCCAGGGGAGCGAAAGGGAUUAGAUACCCCUGUAGUCCUGGCAGUAAACGGUGCACGCUUGGUGUGCGGGGAAUCGACCCCCUGCGUGCCGGAGCUAACGCGUUAAGCGUGCCGCCUGGGGAGUACGGUCGCAAGAUUAAAACUCAAAGAAAUUGACGGGGACCCGCACAAGCGGUGGAGUAUGUGGCUUAAUUCGAUGCAACGCGAAGAACCUUACCUGGGCUUGACAUGUAAUGAACAACAUGUGAAAGCAUGCGACUCUUCGGAGGCGUUACACAGGUGCUGCAUGGCCGUCGUCAGCUCGUGUCGUGAGAUGUUUGGUUAAGUCCAGCAACGAGCGCAACCCCUGUUGCCAGUUACCAGCACGUGAAGGUGGGGACUCUGGCGAGACUGCCCAGAUCAACUGGGAGGAAGGUGGGGACGACGUCAGGUCAGUAUGGCCCUUAUGCCCAGGGCUGCACACGUACUACAAUGCCCAGUACAGAGGGGGCCGAAGCCGCGAGGCGGAGGAAAUCCUAAAAACUGGGCCCAGUUCGGACUGUAGGCUGCAACCCGCCUACACGAAGCCGGAAUCGCUAGUAAUGGCGCAUCAGCUACGGCGCCGUGAAUACGUUCCCGGGUCUUGCACUCAACGCCCGUCA